This 30-nucleotide non-coding RNA is filed under the name Homo sapiens (human). The record is from RNAcentral. Lineage: Eukaryota; Metazoa; Chordata; Mammalia; Primates; Hominidae.
UGGCUGGCAGCUUCCAGGCACUCCUAAGGU